GAUGAACGCUGGCGGCGUGCCUAAUACAUGCAAGUCGAGCGAACAGACGAGGAGCUUGCUCCUCUGACGUUAGCGGCGGACGGGUGAGUCACACGUGGAUAACCUCCCUAUAAGACUGGGAUAACUUCGGGACACCGGAGCUAAUACCGGAUAAUAUCUUGAACCGCAUGGUUCAAUAGUGAAAGACGGUUUUGCUGUCACUUCUCGCUGGAUCCGCGCCGCAUUAGCUAGUUGGUAAGGUCACGGCUUACCAAGGCAACCAUGCGUAGCCGACCGAACGGGGGGGUCGGCCACCCGAGAGCGGAGACACGGUCCAGACUACUGCGGGAGGCAGCAGAAGGGAAUGUGACGCAAUGGGCGAAAGCCUGGCGGAGCAACGCCGCGUGAGUGAUGAAGGUCCUGGGAUCGUAAAACCCGGUUAUUAGGGAAGAACAAAUGUGUAAGUAACUAAGCACGGCGUGACGGUACCUAAUCAGAAAGCCACGGCUAACUACGUG
RNAcentral lists this ribosomal RNA (497 nucleotides) under uncultured bacterium. Its description in RNAcentral is "partial 16S ribosomal RNA". It matches the Rfam family "Bacterial small subunit ribosomal RNA", at positions 28 to 507 of the family's 1533-position model. The record is from RNAcentral.